RNAcentral lists this ribosomal RNA (253 nucleotides) under uncultured bacterium. Its description in RNAcentral is "partial 16S ribosomal RNA". It matches the Rfam family "Bacterial small subunit ribosomal RNA", at positions 524 to 776 of the family's 1533-position model. The record is from RNAcentral.
UACGGGGGGGGCAAGCGUUGUUCGGAAUUACUGGGCGUAAAGGGCUUGUAGGUGGCCAACUAAGUCAGACGUGAAAUCCCACGGCUUAACCGGGGAACUGCCUGCGAGACCUCAGUACUAGAGUGUGAGAGGGGAUAGUGGAAUACCCAGUGUAGCGGUGAAAUGCGUAGAGAUUGGGUGGAACACCGGUGGCGAAGGCGGCUAUCUGGCUCACAACUGACGAUCAGGCACGAAAGCAUGGGGAGCAAACAGG